Molecule: unclassified non-coding RNA, 420 nt
Filed under: Boronia rosmarinifolia
Lineage: Eukaryota; Viridiplantae; Streptophyta; Magnoliopsida; Sapindales; Rutaceae
Description: partial external transcribed spacer
Source: RNAcentral
UGCUGGUGCAUCGAACUGUUGACGCUCAAUCUGCUUCAUUUCUUCCCCAAGUGAAUAUUUUCCUUGUGGGUUUGUGCGGUAUCCUGUGUUGCUUACCAAUGGAAUGGUAAUUCGAUGGCUUUGUUAGACUCAUCCGCCUUGUUCCCAAAUGGGUGCGAGGUGGACGUGAGGUGAGCCUUGUGUUCCCAACAUGCUAAGUGCUUUGGCAUUUGGUUGUUGCGGCCCAUAAGGUCUUCACUUGUUMUCUUGGAUGCGGAAUUCUAUGUGUGGGCGCGCGAGGUCUUGACCUCGACUCGUCAAAACACUGUGUUUUCACUCGAAUGACCGCUGCACCUGUCUUGAUCCUCCCGACCGAGGCCUCACAAUGGGGCUUACCGGACGAGGGGGGAACAUAUGGGUGUCAGCGUCAAAGAGGAAAGC